Molecule: ribosomal RNA, 490 nt
Filed under: uncultured bacterium
Lineage: Bacteria
Description: partial 16S ribosomal RNA
Rfam family: Bacterial small subunit ribosomal RNA
Source: RNAcentral
AGUGAACGCUGGCGGUAGGCCUAACACAUGCAAGUCGAACGGCAGCACAGUAAGAGCUUGCUCUUACGGGUGGCGAGUGGCGGACGGGUGAGGAAUACAUCGGAAUCUACUUUUUCGUGGGGGAUAACGUAGGGAAACUUACGCUAAUACCGCAUACGACCUACGGGUGAAAGCAGGGGAUCUUCGGACCUUGCGCGAUUGAAUGAACCGAUGUCGGAUUAGCUAGUUGGCGGGGUAAAGGCCCACCAAGGCGACGAUCCGUAGCUGGUCUGAGAGGAUGAUCAGCCACACUGGAACUGAGACACGGUCCAGACUCCUACGGGAGGCAGCAGUGGGGAAUAUUGGACAAUGGGCGCAAGCCUGAUCCAGCCAUACCGCGUGGGUGAAGAAGGCCUUCGGGUUGUAAAGCCCUUUUGUUGGGAAAGAAAAGCAGCAGGUUAAUACCCCGCUGUUCUGACGGUACCCAAAGAAUAAGCACCGGCUAACUUCG